Molecule: ribosomal RNA, 477 nt
Filed under: uncultured organism
Description: partial 16S ribosomal RNA
Rfam family: Bacterial small subunit ribosomal RNA
Source: RNAcentral
UACACUCCUGCGGGAGGCAGCAGUGGGGAAUUUUGGACAAUGGGCGAAAGCCUGAUCCAGCCAUGCCGCGUGCAGGAUGAAGGCCUUCGGGUUGUAAACUGCUUUUGUACGGAACGAAACGGCCUUUUCUAAUAAAGAGGGCUAAUGACGGUACCGUAAGAAUAAGCACCGGCUAACUACGUGCCAGCAGCCGCGGUAAUACGUAGGGUGCAAGCGUUAAUCGGAAUUACUGGGCGUAAAGCGUGCGCAGGCGGUUAUGUAAGACAGUUGUGAAAUCCCCGGGCUCAACCUGGGAACUGCAUCUGUGACUGCAUAGCUAGAGUACGGUAGAGGGGGAUGGAAUUCCGCGUGUAGCAGUGAAAUGCGUAGAUAUGCGGAGGAACACCGAUGGCGAAGGCAAUCCCCUGGACCUGUACUGACGCUCAUGCACGAAAGCGUGGGGAGCAAACAGGAUUAGAAACCCUAGUAGUCCCAUGA